This 1435-nucleotide ribosomal RNA is filed under the name uncultured organism. Its description in RNAcentral is "16S ribosomal RNA". It matches the Rfam family "Bacterial small subunit ribosomal RNA". The record is from RNAcentral.
CAGGCUUAACACAUGCAAGUCGAGGGGCAUCAGGAAGAAAGCUUGCUUUCUUUGCUGGCGACCGGCGCACGGGUGAGUAACACGUAUCCAACCUGCCCUUUACUCGGGGAUAGCCUUUCGAAAGAAAGAUUAAUACCCGAUGGCAUAAUGAUUCCGCAUGGUUUCAUUAUUAAAGGAUUCCGGUAAAGGAUGGGGAUGCGUUCCAUUAGGUUGUUGGUGAGGUAACGGCUCACCAAGCCUUCGAUGGAUAGGGGUUCUGAGAGGAAGGUCCCCCACAUUGGAACUGAGACACGGUCCAAACUCCUACGGGAGGCAGCAGUGAGGAAUAUUGGUCAAUGGGCGCUAGCCUGAACCAGCCAAGUAGCGUGAAGGAUGAAGGCUCUAUGGGUCGUAAACUUCUUUUAUAUAAGAAUAAAGUGCAGUAUGUAUACUGUUUUGUAUGUAUUAUAUGAAUAAGGAUCGGCUAACUCCGUGCCAGCAGCCGCGGUAAUACGGAGGAUCCGAGCGUUAUCCGGAUUUAUUGGGUUUAAAGGGAGCGUAGGUGGACUGGUAAGUCAGUUGUGAAAGUUUGCGGCUCAACCGUAAAAUUGCAGUUGAUACUGUCAGUCUUGAGUACAGUAGAGGUGGGCGGAAUUCGUGGUGUAGCGGUGAAAUGCUUAGAUAUCACGAAGAACUCCGAUUGCGAAGGCAGCUCACUGGACUGCAACUGACACUGAUGCUCGAAAGUGUGGGUAUCAAACAGGAUUAGAUACCCUGGUAGUCCACACAGUAAACGAUGAAUACUCGCUGUUUGCGAUAUACAGUAAGCGGCCAAGCGAAAGCAUUAAGUAUUCCACCUGGGGAGUACGCCGGCAACGGUGAAACUCAAAGGAAUUGACGGGGGCCCGCACAAGCGGAGGAACAUGUGGUUUAAUUCGAUGAUACGCGAGGAACCUUACCCGGGCUUAAAUUGCAGUGGAAUGAUGUGGAAACAUGUCAGUGAGCAAUCACCGCUGUGAAGGUGCUGCAUGGUUGUCGUCAGCUCGUGCCGUGAGGUGUCGGCUUAAGUGCCAUAACGAGCGCAACCCUUAUCUUUAGUUACUAACAGGUUAUGCUGAGGACUCUAGAGAGACUGCCGUCGUAAGAUGUGAGGAAGGUGGGGAUGGCGUCAAAUCAGCACGGCCCUUACGUCCGGGGCUACGCACGUGUUACAAUGGGGGGUACAGAAGGCAGCUAGCGGGUGACCGUAUGCUAAUCCCAAAAGCCUCUCUCAGUUCGGAUCGAAGUCUGCAACCCGACUUCGUGAAGCUGGAUUCGCUAGUAAUCGCGCAUCAGCCACGGCGCGGUGAAUACGUUCCCGGGCCUUGUACACACCGCCCGUCAAGCCAUGGGAGCCGGGGGUACCUGAAGUACGUAACCGCAAGGAUCGUCCUAGGGUAAAACUGGUGACUGGGGC